UGGGGGCUCAACGAAAGCAGCGGAUGUAGCAGGUUCUUAGGCAAGGCCCCCACUGAUGAGAGCCUCUGGCUGUGGGCCAGGCUCAGGCGGCCUCAGCCCACAGCACAGGUCCCAGCUGAACUGCAAGCUGCUGUCCCACCGUCCCCAGCUCAGAGCAAAGCAGAAACUCGAAGCAGACGCUGCUCCCCAAAAGCAGCACCCCAAAAGAUGCUGGGGCAGGCGCCAUGGGCAAGGCUGUCUCCUUCUGGCCCUGCCGUCCUGCUGCUGGUGCUCUCUGCCAGCAUGACCUGCCAGAACAUCUGCAGCUCCCCAGGUACUCGUGAGUCCUUCCCUCCCAGACCCUGCGCACUUGGAAGCCCAACCACUGUGAGCUGUGCCCUAUGGCAGCCCUUCACUGCUGUGUCUCCUGCAGGGGAUCUCCCAGCUCCUGCUCUCCAAAUGAACUCAAGUUCUGCUCAGCCAGGUACCACUGUUGUGCUCCAGUGUAUUCUCCAUGUGGUGUCACAUGCAAGACGAAUCAUCAUCUGCAAGGAUGGGAAGGAGGUGUACAGCCAGAAAGCCCAUGAAGGGCAGCUGAGCUACUCCCUGGUCCUGAACAUCACGUCAAGUACUGCAGGAAUAUAUACCUGUGGGUACCAGGAGUGGAAUGAGAUGAAACACAAGAGGAGCUCUGCCCUCAAUGCUGGCCAAAUCCUGGAUGUCCCCGGUGCAGCUGCUGGCGUGACCACCCAGGACAUCGGCAGCUCCCCAGGCAAUGUGGUGAGUUCCCCAGCAAGUCCAUCAACCACAGGUGAGUGAUUCCCUCCUACACCCCCAGAAACCCGAGAAUGGGGAGUGGGUGUGCUGUGCUGCCAUCCCCAGGGCAUGGGGACAAACAGGAGCUUUACCAGGCAGGAGCUGUGCCAGGUGCAGGGGCACGUCCUGCUCCCUGCCUCUCCCCAUCACACCCCACUGCCCUCACACACUCUCUCCCACAGCUCCCCAUGCCCGGAUCCAGCAUGCCCUCCCCACAGGCACGGUGCUGGCAGUGACGGCCGUCGGCCUCAUCCUCCUGUCUGCAGGCAGCUGGUUUGCCAUCAGGAAAGGUGAGGGAGUGGGGGAAUGUGGGGGGAAGGCUGAGGACAUGGGGGUCCUGCUGCAGGGCUGGUGCAGUGGGAAAGGUGGUGGGGGAACCUGGGGGUGCACAGCUGGGGCAGACGGUGCCUGGGGGCGAUGGCUGUGGGCAGCUCAGCUGGGGAGGCUCCCGAGGGAGCUGGGGAGCUUCAGCCUUUGUCCCCCAGCCCCAAGAUGAG
Molecule: long non-coding RNA, 1292 nt
Filed under: Anas platyrhynchos platyrhynchos (common mallard)
Lineage: Eukaryota; Metazoa; Chordata; Aves; Anseriformes; Anatidae
Description: lncRNA (ENSAPLG00000029302.1)
Source: RNAcentral